Molecule: ribosomal RNA, 254 nt
Filed under: uncultured bacterium
Lineage: Bacteria
Description: partial 16S ribosomal RNA
Rfam family: Bacterial small subunit ribosomal RNA
Source: RNAcentral
UACGUAGGGUGCAGGCGUUAAUCGGAAUUACUGGGCGUAAAGCGUGCGCAGGCGGUCUCUUAAGACAGGUGUGAAAUCCCCGGGCUCAACCUGGGAAUGGCCAUGGAAACUGUCUGGCUAGAGUCCGGAAGGGGCGAGUGGAAUUCCGUGGUGUAGCGGUGAAAUGCGCAGAUAUCAGGAGGAACACCUAUGGCGAAGGCAGCUCGCUGGGACGGUACUGACGCUGAGGCGCGAAAGCGUGGGGAGCGAACAGG